Molecule: ribosomal RNA, 370 nt
Filed under: uncultured bacterium
Lineage: Bacteria
Description: bacterial SSU rRNA
Rfam family: Bacterial small subunit ribosomal RNA
Source: RNAcentral
AGCGAACGCUGGCGGCAGGCCUAACACAUGCAAGUCGAGCGGCCGUAGCAAUACGGCAGCGGCAGACGGGAGAGUAACACGUGGGAACGUGCCCUUUGGUUCGGAAUAACGCAGGGAAACUUGCGCUAAUACCGAAUAAGCCCUUACGGGGAAAGAUUUAUCGCCAUUGGAGCGGCCCGCGUCUGAUUAGCUAGUUGGUGGGGUAACGGCUCACCAAGGCGACGAUCAGUAGCNGGUCUGAGAGGAUGAUCAGCCUCACUGGGACUGAGACACGGCCCAGACUCCUACGGGAGGCAGCAGUGGGGAAUAUUGGACAAUGGGCGCAAGCCUGAUCCAGCCAUGCCGCGUGGAUGAUGAAGGCCUUAGGGUU